This 559-nucleotide long non-coding RNA is filed under the name Cottoperca gobio. Its description in RNAcentral is "lncRNA (ENSCGOG00000010621.1)". Lineage: Eukaryota; Metazoa; Chordata; Actinopteri; Perciformes; Bovichtidae. The record is from RNAcentral.
AGCUAACCAACCAAACCCAAAGUUGUUGGAAAAACUGAGAAUUGACAUACUGUAAAAGAGAGGUAAUAAAUAACCAACGUUAUUACACUACACUUUAAGGAUACGUCAAGACACAAAGCAGUUGGAAUAAGUUGGCCUACAACUCUGGAGCUGAAAACGAUGCUAACGAACUAACUAACGUGCAGCCUAGCUUAAUUAGCGCACACCUGUGAGCUCUGCUUCUCCGAGCUGGGAGCUCUGGCUAAAGAAGAGGACAAUUAGCGAGAUGACUCACAUCCGGUCAGUGACUUGGAAUUUAAUAUAGCCAUGCCAUCAACGAGGAAAUACGAGGACAUACCUGCUUUAAGGUGGACGGCCUGUUUGGCACUUCAAACCGCAGCACCCCUGCAUCUCGUCUGUUAACAGUUAAUGAUCUGUUAACAAGGGUCGGCGGUCGGUCAGGAAAACAAUCUUAGAUCUCUAAAUGGCCAUGACCUGGCCUUACCGUCUCAUGCAAAACCUUUGUGGACAUAAAGCUAUCGACAAAUAUGGUGGAAGAAGCAUCUGUGCAAGAAUCGUC